Molecule: long non-coding RNA, 2118 nt
Organism: Megalobrama amblycephala (Wuchang bream)
Lineage: Eukaryota; Metazoa; Chordata; Actinopteri; Cypriniformes; Xenocyprididae
Exons: 2
Source: RefSeq, a predicted model, not a curated record
CUCCUCCUCCCUUUACCGGGGUGAAGCUGAGGCUCAGUGCCCAUCUCCUCAAUGCCUUCUGAAACAGAAUUAUGGGCUGGAGCAUGCAAACUGGCUGGCUGAUUCAGUGAGGUCCAUUCCCUCCGACGGCGAAGAUACGCGGCGAAUCUCCAGAAAUCAAAACUCCGUAGCCCUUCCAUCUCACAUUGAGGCAGAGGAUCGUCGAGGCAGCAAUUACACAAAUCCUUCAAAGCCGCGUCAUUGUAACCCAGCCCCACCGCCAUCGUCCAAAAGACCUUAGCAAAGCAUCCUACCUCCCACCCCUCCUGGCGUAGAGCCCUCAACGCCCGUAGUUGAUCCCAGCGCUCCCUGGUAGUGGCUGGAGGAAGGAUUCGGAACCCCACACUGCUGGAUCCUUGCAUGGGUGGUUUGUUCUGUCACGGUUGCACACAGAAACAAGAUGGUAAGAUCCAAGUGCAGUGAGGUUUAUUAAAGGGAACUCCAAACACGUAAUCCAAGACACAGGCAAAGGUAAACUCCACAAAAACAGUCCAUAAAACAGAAAGCCAGAGAACUAAAGUGCACGUAACAUUAAAACAACAAACCACAACUGAGGACAGAAACAACUGAGAUUAAAUAGACAGACACUGAUUACAAAAUACAUGACAGCUGGGUGUAAUGAUGUGAUAAAUGGAUAAUGAGUCCGGCAGUGCGUUAUGGGUAGUGUAGUCAAUGGGGUGAAAACAGUCCAGGAUGGAGUGCCCUCAAGUGGCUAAUUCGGGCACUCUCACUGACGGUCGUGACAGGAGCAAACUGAUUGGUCGGUGGUGUUAAAGAAUGCAUUGUCUUUUUGCACAUUCCAGAUUGUUAAGUUAUGAUUAUUCAAGUUUUAAGAACAUUUUUUGUAAAGAAACAUUUUAGCUAGUGGUCUCUGCCUUUUAGACAUUUUGGAUAUUUUAAUUAACUAACACGAACAAAGAUUAACAAAUACAGUAACAAAUGUAUUUCUCAUGGUUAGUUCAUAAAUGAACCUCAUUGUAAAGUGUUACCACAGAUAAGAUGCUUGAACACAUGUAAGAUCCAGACAGGUGAAACUGAAUAUUUUUGUAAGUUGGAUUCAUAAUGACUUCAUUUGUUUCUUAAAGAAUGAUUCAAUGGUAGAGACAUUUUUAACAGUAAUUUGGCGUAACAAUGCAAUCGAUACAGUCGUUACUUGAAGUCCAGUUACUUUCAGAAGGUAAUUUAUUAUAUUUUGAUUGGUAACAUCAGCGUUUCUAUCUGAAUAAUAAACUUUUGUAUAUUUCUGUUAUAAUUGUAAUAUUUGUCACACAGAAAUAAUGAUACUGUGUGUUUGAAAAGAUUGAUUGUGAAGCUGUGUAUUUAUUUAUUAUUUUUUUAAAUCAAAGGUUUAAUAUACACAGGAAAAUCAUUGUCAUUUAGGAAUUAGAUCUCAGAUUUGAUAUCUGACGUAUAUGAGUAGCGCGAGGGCUUUUCAGUGCAUUCACUGCUAUAAUAUUCAUGAGGUGAGACAUUUCUAUUAAAGGAUACACUCCCAGCACUUCGCCCACCCAUCACACCAAGAACCGUUUUCAGAACCGAAACUUAGAAAUCUUGCACGGUUCUGGUUCUUUUCAAAAAACACUACCGGUUCCAGAUGUGAAAAUAUGAUUUAUCUGUGUAUUUUCUUUAUGGUUCCACAGAAGAACAAGAGAAUGAAGAGACACCGCUAAUCAAUGUAGAUGUUCCUGUUGGAGUGAAUGAGCAGCAGGCGACAAGUUCCAUUUGACAGGGUCUGGCAGGGAUUGUUGGUGAGGGGAGUGAAUAUCCAGUGCUUUCUCCACCCUCAAUACCACGACUGAGGUGAGACUCUUGAGCAAGGCACCGUACCCCUCAACUGCUCCCUGGGCGUCGCAGCAAUGGGUGUGUGUUCACGGCUGUGUGUGUGCACUUGGAUGGGUUAAAUGCAGAGCACAAAUUCUGAGUAUGGGUCACCAUACUUGGCCACGUCACUUCACUUUCACUUUCAGAAAUGUAUUAUACUGUAUGGCCAGAGUGUGUGUUUUAAAUGUGCCUUAAUUUUAAGUGUAUCAAAAUACACUUCUCAGUGAUGAACUGCAAUAAAUCAAACAUGGAUCUUGA